CCUACGGGAGGCUGCAGUGGGGAAUAUUGCACAAUGGGGGAAACCCUGAUGCAGCGACGCCGCGUGAAUGAAGAAGUAUUUCGGUAUGUAAAGCUCUAUCAGCAGGGAAGAAAUGAAGUCCUUUGGACUUUGGACGGUACCUGACUAAGAAGCCCCGGCUAACUACGUGCCAGCAGCCGCGGUAAUACGUAGGGGGCAAGCGUUAUCCGGAUUUACUGGGGGUAAAGGGAGCGUAGACGGCAGCGCAAGUCUGGAGUGAAAGCCCAUGGCUUAACCAUGGAACUGCUUUUGAUACUGUGCGUCUAGAGUGCAGGUGAGGUAAGCGGAAUUCCUGGUGUAGCGGUGAAAUGCUUAGAUAUUAGGAGGAACACCGGUUGCGAAGGCAGCUUACUGGACUGUAACUGACGUUGAGGCUCGAAAGCGUGGGGAGCAAACAGGAUUAGAUACCCGGGUAGUC
RNAcentral lists this ribosomal RNA (457 nucleotides) under uncultured bacterium. RNAcentral describes it as "partial 16S ribosomal RNA". It matches the Rfam family "Bacterial small subunit ribosomal RNA", at positions 338 to 795 of the family's 1533-position model. The record is from RNAcentral.